CAGUAGCCACGGUAAUACGUAGGGUGCGAGCGUUAAUCGGAUUUACUGGGCGUAAAGCGUGCGCAGGCGGCCCGUUAAGACAGGUGUGAAAUCCCUGGGCUCAACCUAGGAACUGCGCUUGUGACUGGCGGGCUCGAGUACGGUAGAGGGGGGUGGAAUUCCUGGUGUAGCAGUGAAAUGCGUAGAGAUCAGGGGGAACACCGAUGGCGAAGGCAGCCCCCUGGGCCUGUACUGACGCUCAUGCACGAAAGCGUGGGGAGCAAACAGGAUUAGAUACCCGAGUAGUCCCUGUCUCUUAUAC
RNAcentral lists this ribosomal RNA (301 nucleotides) under uncultured bacterium. RNAcentral's name for it is "partial 16S ribosomal RNA". It matches the Rfam family "Bacterial small subunit ribosomal RNA", at positions 509 to 807 of the family's 1533-position model. The record is from RNAcentral.